Molecule: unclassified non-coding RNA, 714 nt
Filed under: Hevea brasiliensis (rubber tree)
Lineage: Eukaryota; Viridiplantae; Streptophyta; Magnoliopsida; Malpighiales; Euphorbiaceae
Source: RNAcentral
GAAAUAUUGAAUUUGUUGAGUUUUUGGUGCUCAUUUUGUUUGUGGGUUAAAAUAUUUUGUUGGGGUUAUCAGAAGUUGUAUCUGGGAACUCAAAAUAUUCCAACUUUAUUUGUGGGUUUUUGUUUCUAGUGGCUGCAAUGUUGAAUUUGAUGAGUUUUAGGUGCCUAAUUUGUUUUGGGUGCAAAUAUUUGAGUUGGGGUUAUGGAUAUUUGUCAAAUUUUCUAGUUAUUCAUUUCAUUUCUAUUGAAAGGUUGAUGAAAUUGCAUAUGAAUUGGAAUGAUGGCAAUGGCAAUGGGUAUGGGUAGAUUUGAUGAAUUUGCUACUGGCAUUUAGCUUUGGGUUGCUGGAUCUGCUCAUAUUAUGCUUGGUUGACUUGAUUUUGUUAUUUACUAUUCCAUUUCAAAUCUUGAUAGUUUUGUUAUGUUGGAUAUAUUCCUAAUCUGAGUCUGAUAUGGAGUUUAAUGCAUUUUUUGUUGGGCAUUUCAAAUUGUGGCAAAAAAAUUAAUGUCAAGUGGUGAUGUUUGAAUUCAUCUGUAGUUUAUUGAUGGAUGACGACGGCUUGAACAUGAGGAACUGGGGUUAUUAUGAACCUUCCCUUAAAGGGCAUCUAGGUCUUCAGCUGAUGUCAUCGAUGGUUGAUCGAGAUGCAAAACCUUAUCUUACUAGGCGUGAGAAUCCAAUUAUGCUCGGUGCUAAUGGGGUGUUCCAUUCCCG